RNAcentral lists this ribosomal RNA (460 nucleotides) under uncultured bacterium. Its description in RNAcentral is "partial 16S ribosomal RNA". It matches the Rfam family "Bacterial small subunit ribosomal RNA", at positions 338 to 795 of the family's 1533-position model. The record is from RNAcentral.
CCUACGGGUGGCAGCAGUGAGGAAUAUUGGUCAAUGGACGCAAGUCUGAACCAGCCAUGCCGCGUGCAGGAAGACGGCUCUAUGAGUUGUAAACCGCUUUUGUACGAGGGUAAACGCAGAUACGCGUAUCUGUCUGAAAGUAUCGUACGAAUAAGGAUCGGCUAACUCCGUGCCAGCAGCCGCGGUAAUACGGAGGAUUCAAGCGUUAUCCGGAUUUAUUGGGUUUAAAGGGUGCGUAGGCGGUCGGAUAAGUUAGAGGUGAAAUCCCGGGGCUCAAAUUCGGAAUUGCCGUUGAUACUGUAUGGCUGGAGUGCAGGUGCGGUAGGCGGAAUGUAUGGUGUAGCGGUGAAAUGCUUAGAGAUCAUACAGAACACCGAUUGCGAAGGCAGCUUACCAGGCUACAUCUGACGUUGAGGCACGAAAGCGUGGGGAGCAAACAGGAUUAGAUACCCCGGUAGUC